RNAcentral lists this ribosomal RNA (253 nucleotides) under uncultured bacterium. Its description in RNAcentral is "partial 16S ribosomal RNA". It matches the Rfam family "Bacterial small subunit ribosomal RNA", at positions 524 to 776 of the family's 1533-position model. The record is from RNAcentral.
UACGAAGGGGGCUAGCGUUGCUCGGAAUCACUGGGCGUAAAGCGCACGUAGGCGGAUCGUUAAGUCAGGGGUGAAAUCCUGGAGCUCAACUCCAGAACUGCCCUUGAUACUGGCGAUCUCGAGUUCGAGAGAGGUUGGUGGAACUCCGAGUGUAGAGGUGAAAUUCGUAGAUAUUCGGAAGAACACCAGUGGCGAAGGCGGCUCACUGGACUGGUAUUGACGCUGAGGUGCGAAAGCGUGGGGAGCAAACAGG